This 492-nucleotide ribosomal RNA is filed under the name uncultured bacterium. RNAcentral's name for it is "partial 16S ribosomal RNA". It matches the Rfam family "Bacterial small subunit ribosomal RNA", at positions 29 to 507 of the family's 1533-position model. The record is from RNAcentral.
AGUGAACGCUGGCGGUAGGCCUAACACAUGCAAGUCGAACGGCAGCACAGUAAGAGCUUGCUCUUACGGGUGGCGAGUGGCGGACGGGUGAGGAAUACAUCGGAAUCUACUUUUUCGUGGGGGAUAACGUAGGGAAACUUACGCUAAUACCGCAUACGACCUACGGGUGAAAGCAGUGGAUCUUCGGACCUUGCGCGAUUGAAUGAGCCGAUGUCGGAUUAGCUAGUUGGCGGGGUAAAGGCCCACCAAGGCGACGAUGCGUAGCUCGGCUGAGAGGAUGAUAGGCGACACUGGAAAAGAGACACGGGCCCGACACCCAAGGGGGGGAGCAGUGGGGAAUAUUUUGCAAAGGGCGAAAACCUGACGGAGCACCGCCGCGUGAGGGAGAAAAGGCUUCGGAUCGUAAAAAUCUGUUUUUAGGGAAAAAAAAAGGUGUAAGUAAAUACGCCCGUGUUGAGGGUACCCAAAAAGAAAGACCCGGCUAAAUACGUG